GGGGGGGGGGGGGGGGGGGGGGGGGGGGGGGGGGGCGGGGGGGGGGGGGCGGCGGUGGGGGGGUGCUCGAGUGGCGAACGGGUGAGUAACACGUGAGUAACCUGCCCUUGACUUUGGGAUAACUUCAGGAAACUGGGGCUAAUACCGGAUAGGAGCUCCUGCUGCAUGGUGGGGGUUGGAAGGUUUCGGCGGUUGGGGAUGGACUCGCGGCUUAUCAGCUUGUUGGUGGGGUAGUGGCUUACCAAGGCUUUGACGGGUAGCCGGCCUGAGAGGGUGACCGGCCACAUUGGGACUGAGAUACGGCCCAGACUCCUACGGGAGGCAGCAGUGGGGAAUAUUGCACAAUGGGCGGAAGCCUGAUGCAGCAACGCCGCGUGCGGGAUGACGGCCUUCGGGUUGUAAACCGCUUUCGCCUGUGACGAAGCGUGAGUGACGGUAAUGGGUAAAGAAGCACCGGCUAACUACGUG
RNAcentral lists this ribosomal RNA (468 nucleotides) under uncultured bacterium. Its description in RNAcentral is "partial 16S ribosomal RNA". The stretch from base 50 to 468 matches the Rfam family "Bacterial small subunit ribosomal RNA", at positions 37 to 507 of the family's 1533-position model. The record is from RNAcentral.